GACACUACAUAAAGAAGAGGUUAUUCAUAAAACAGUGAAUGAUGAUCAGUUAGUGUCUUCAGAGUCAUUCCUCAAGCGACUCCUCUCUCGUGCUCUCACUUACACUCAGAGUACCUCUACUGAUAAUCUCAGGGACUGCUCCCUCGACCUUGAGAAACUAGCAGGGGUGGAGCCCUCGUUAAAGGGGUGUGGCUUAUUCUCAGCUCGUCUGUUACAUUGUCAGUUACUUCUUAAUAAAGUUCGUCAGACCAUGUCACACUCUGUACUAGUUGCUAGUGAGGCCAGUGAGAUAUCCAGUAUAGUAAUGGAGUUGACUAUGUUGAGUUACAGACUUCAGUAUGGAUAUGUAAACCACUCUCCCUCGUUAAUAUUCCUGUUGUCAUGGUUACGGACUCACGCCCACUGCAUACUGUUACACCUUGCAAUGAGAUUGGACUGGCCCAUAGA
This is a long non-coding RNA of Amphimedon queenslandica, 447 nucleotides long. RefSeq lists it as uncharacterized. Lineage: Eukaryota; Metazoa; Porifera; Demospongiae; Haplosclerida; Niphatidae. The transcript has 3 exons. The record is from RefSeq and is a predicted model, not a curated record.